AGAGUUUGAUCCUGGCUCAGAAUCAACGCUGGCGGCGUGCCUAACACAUGCAAGUCGAACGAGAAAGUGGAGCAAUCCAUGAGUACAGUGGCGUACGGGUGAGUAACACGUGACUAACCUACCCUCGAGUGGGGAAUAACCUCGGGAAACCGGGGCUAAUACCGCAUGAGGUCUUCGGAUCAAAGGAGUAAUCCGCUUGA
Molecule: ribosomal RNA, 200 nt
Filed under: uncultured bacterium
Lineage: Bacteria
Description: partial 16S ribosomal RNA
Rfam family: Bacterial small subunit ribosomal RNA
Source: RNAcentral